AGCUAUUAAGGGCAUAUGGGGGAUGUCUUGGUGUUAGAAGAAUGGGCGUGGAAGUCUGCGAUAAGCUUGGGGGAGUCGACAAACGGACGUUGAUCCCGAGAUCCUCAAUCCAACCUAGGGAACUGAAACAUCUAAGUACCUAGAGGAGUAGAAAGAAAACUCGAUUCCGUCAGUAGCGGCGAGCGAAAGCGGAGUAGCCUAAACCGUGAGGGUUUCCCUCGCGGGGUUGUAGGGUUGCUUUUAUGGGAGUUACAAAACUUCGGUUAGCGGAAUGGUAUUGAAAGGCCAGCCACAGAGGGUGAGAGUCCCGUACGCGAAAACUGCAAGUCUCUCUAGCAAUUCCUGAGUAGGUCGGGGCACGUGAAACCCUGACUGAAUCCACGGGGACCAUCCCGUAAGGCUAAAUACUCUCUAACGACCGAUAGUGAAUCCAGUAGGGCGACUGAAUGAUGGAAAGAACCCCUAUAAGGGGAGGUCAUUGAACCUGAAACCAUAUGCCUACAAGCGGUCGGAGCACGUUAAUGUGUGACGGCGUGCCUUUUGCAUAAUGAUCCGGCGAGUUACGGUUAGUGGCUUGGUUAAGUUCUUACGGAACGAAGCCCCAGGGAAACCGAGUGUUAAUAGCGCGAAUGUCACUGGCCGUAGACGCGAAACUGCGUGAUCUACCCAUGAGCAGGUUGAAGCAAGGGUUACACUUUGUGGAGGACCGAACCCACUUAGGUUGAAAACUGAGGGGAUGACUUGUGGGGAGGAGUGAAAGUCUAAUCAAACGCAGAGAUAGCUCGUUCUCUCCGAAAUAGCUUUUGGGCUAGCGUCGUGCCACUAUUUACUGGGGGUAGAGAGACUGAUUUGGAUGGGGGCCCUUCCCGGGGUACCUCACUGAGCCAAACUCCGAAUACCAGUAAAACUAUCACGGCAGUCAGUCCGCGAGGGAUAAGCUUCGCGGUCGAGAGGGAAACAACCCAGACCAUCGGCUAAGGUCCCGAAUCUAUACUAAGUCACUAAGGAGGUUAAUUUGCAGUGACAGCCAGGAUGUUGGCUUAGAAGCAGCCACCAUUUAAAAAGUGCGUAACAGCUUACUGGUCGAGCAAAUUUGCGCCGAUAAUGAACGGGAGUAAGUAUAGAACCGAAGCCGUGGAUUCGAAAGAAUGGUAGGAGAGCGCUGUAUGGGAGAUACGAGCCGGACGGAAACGACCGGUGGUGGCCCAUACAGGUGAUUAUGCCGGAAUGAGUAACGAUUAAACAGGUGAGAAUCCUGUUCGCCGAAAGCCUAAGGUUUCCUGGGGAAGGUAAUUCCGCCCAGGGUUAGCCGGACCCUUAGUCGAGGCCGAAAGGCGUAGACGAUGGACAGCAGGUUAAUAUUCCUGUGCCGGUGUGUGGCUGAUGGAGGGACGGCAUCCAGAGAGUGAUCGGACGACUAGAAAUGUCCGUGGAGAUAGUUGAGUUGGCGGGGAUUAAAAGACCUGCGGAAUACAAGACUAUUGACUGACCUUCGGGGUAAUCACAGGAAGGAUGUCCAAGAAAAGCUCCUAGGAUCAAUCACACCGUCCGUACUAAAACUGACACAGGUAGGCGGGUCGAGUAGACUAAGGCGCUCGGGAGAACGGUGGUUAAGGAACUCUGCAAAAUGAUCCCGUAAGUUCGCAAUAAGGGAUGCCUGCGAGAGCAGGCCACAGUAAAUCGAUUCCAACGACUGUUUAUCAAAAACACAGGUCUCUGCUAACACGUAAGUGGAUGUAUAGAGACUGACGCCUGCCCGGUGCUGGUAGGUUAAGGAAGUAUGUUAGCCCUCGGGUGAAGCAUCCGACCGAAGCCCCAGUAAACGGCGGCCGUAACUAUGACGGUCCUAAGGUAGCGAAAUUCCUUGUCGGGUAAGUUCCGACCUGCAUGAAAGGCGUAACGAUUGGAAUACUGUCUCAACCACCGACCCGGUGAAAUUGUAGUCGUGGUGAAGAUGCCACGUACCCGCGGU
This 1972-nucleotide ribosomal RNA is filed under the name Crepidula atrasolea. RNAcentral's name for it is "bacterial LSU rRNA". It matches the Rfam family "Bacterial large subunit ribosomal RNA", at positions 1 to 2076 of the family's 2925-position model. The record is from RNAcentral. Lineage: Eukaryota; Metazoa; Mollusca; Gastropoda; Littorinimorpha; Calyptraeidae.